This 2286-nucleotide small RNA is filed under the name Pan troglodytes (chimpanzee). Its description in RNAcentral is "processed transcript". The record is from RNAcentral. Lineage: Eukaryota; Metazoa; Chordata; Mammalia; Primates; Hominidae.
AUGCGCGCGCCCGGGCGGCGCGGGGUCUGGGUCUGGGGAUGUGGUACCGUCUGCUGGCGGCGGCCGGCAGUAGAGCGGUGGCCGGGCCGCUGGCCUUGUUGUGGCGAUGUGGUGGCCCAGGAGGCGGCAGGACGGCCAAGACCAGCGCGAGGGCCCUGGGCAAGGCCCGACAGAAGAAGCUAGUAAAGCUCAUCUGGUCUCUUGUUUCAGUGCUUCCAGGGGAUCCACUUUCAGAAGCUGACUCUGCAGGCAAGACCGACGUUAUUUUCCCGGUGGCUGUGUUCAAAACCACCCAAAGGGUUUGAGAAAUACUUUAAGAGGAGUGGAAGGAACACAAACUGAGAAACAUCAACAGCACCAAAAAAAGAGACUGGUGAACUAGAGAAUGCUGAGUCUGGAGGAGACGGAGGCAGGAGAGGAGGGAAGCGGGAUAACGUUGCCUGGUGGAGGCGGAUGCAGAAGGGGGGACUUCCCCUGGGGUGACGAGGAUUUCCGCAGUCUGGCCCUUUUAGGGGCAGGCGUUGCCGUGGGAUUUUUCUACCUCUAUUUUCGAGAUCCUGGAAGAGAAAUCACUUGGAAGCACUUUGUACAGUAUUACCUGGCCAGAGGUCUGGCGGACCGGCUGGAAGUUGUGAACAAACAAUCUGUGCGUGUUAUUCCUGCCCCUGGGACCUCUUCUGAAGGUUCAACUCUGCCACCAACGUCGUGGUGUUGGCUGGCACCAACCGCCCUGACGUCCUGGACCCGGCCCUCAUGCGGCCUGGCUGGUUUCAUCGCCAGAUUUACACUGGUCCUCCUGACAUCAAAGGCAGGUCCUCCAUCUUUAAGGUCCACCUGCGCCCACUGAAGCUGGACGAGAGCCUCAAUAAGGACGCCCUGGCGAGGAAGCUGGCAGCGCUCACCCCAGGCUUCCCUGAGGGGGAUGACUCAGCAGGGAUGACUCAGCACUACCCCUCAACAGAGAUGACUUUGAUGACUCUGCCCCUCAGCAGGGCUUACUAAGCACUACCCCUUAACAGGGAUGACUCUGCACUGCCCCUCAACAGGGAUGACUCAGCAGAGAUGACAGCACUGUCCCUCAGCAGGGAUGACACAGCAAGGAUGACUCAGCACUGCCCCUCAGCAAGGAUGACGCAGCACUGCCACUCAACAGGGAUGACUCAGGGAUGGCUCAGUACUGCCCCUCAGCAGGGAUGACUCAGCACUGCCCCUCAACAGGGAUGACUCAGCAGGGAUGACUCAGCACCGCCCCUCAACAGGCAUGACUCUGCAGAGAUGACUUAGCACUGCCCCUCAGCAGGGAUGGCUCAGCAGGGAUGACUCAGCACUGCCCCUCAGCAAGGAUGACGGAGCACUGCCGCUCAACAGGGAUGACUCAGCAGGGAUGACUCAGUACUGCCCCUCAGCAGGGAUGACUCAGCACUGCCCCUCAGCAGGGAUGACUCAGCACAGCCCCUCAACAGGGAUGACUCAGCAGGGAUGACUCAGUACUGCCCCUCAGCAGGGAUGACUCCGCACUGCCCCUCAACAGGGAUGACUCAGCAGGGAUGACUCAGCACCACCCCUCAACAGGCAUGACUCUUCAGAGAUGACUUAGCACUGCCCCUCAGCAAGGAUGACUCAGCAGGGAUGACUCAGCACUGCCCCUCAACAGGGAUGACUCAGCAGACUCAGCGGGGAUGACGCAGCACUGUCCCUCAGCAGGCAUGACUCAGCAGGGAUGACUCAGCACUGCCCCUCAGCAAGGAUGACUCAGCAGGGAUGAUUCAGCAGAGAUAACUCGGGGAUGACUCUGACUGCCCCUCAGCAGGGAUGAGUCUGUUUUGCUCUGAUGGAAGCAUCUGUAGUGUCCAUCAGCAGGUGAACAGCCAAAGUGGUAUAUACUGUAGUCAAAUUCAGCUAUAAAAAGGAAUAAAGUAUCGAUGCAUGCCACAACAUGGGUGAACCUAGAAAAUACUGUUCUAAAUGCAAGAAGCCAGGCACAAAAGGCCACAUAGUAUAUGUUCCCAUUUAUGUGAAAUGUGCAGAAUAAUAAUAAAAAUGUAUAGAACAGCAAAUCUGUAGGGACAGACAUGAGGUGAGUGGUUGCCAGAAGUGGAAAUGGGAGUUAACUAUAAAUAGCACAGGGUACCUUACAGAGAUGAUGGAAAUGUCCUAAAGCUAGAUUAUGGCAUCAGUUGCACUACGUGAUCAGUUUAUUAAAAAUCGUUGAUGUGUGUGUGUAGAAUGGGUGGAUUUUAUGGUUUAUAAAUUAUACCUUAAUAAAGGUUAACAAAAAAUGUGGCU